This 1012-nucleotide ribosomal RNA is filed under the name uncultured bacterium. RNAcentral describes it as "bacterial SSU rRNA". It matches the Rfam family "Bacterial small subunit ribosomal RNA", at positions 355 to 1375 of the family's 1533-position model. The record is from RNAcentral.
UGGGGAAUAUUGCACAAUGGGCGCAAGCCUGAUGCAGCGACGCCGCGUGAGGGAUGGAGGCCUUCGGGUUGUAAACCUCUUUUGUUUGGGAGCAAGCCUUCGGGUGAGUGUACCUUUCGAAUAAGCGCCGGCUAACUACGUGCCAGCAGCCGCGGUAAUACGUAGGGCGCAAGCGUUAUCCGGAUUUAUUGGGCGUAAAGGGCUCGUAGGCGGCUCGUCGCGUCCGGUGUGAAAGUCCAUCGCUUAACGGUGGAUCUGCGCCGGGUACGGGCGGGCUGGAGUGCGGUAGGGGAGACUGGAAUUCCCGGUGUAACGGUGGAAUGUGUAGAUAUCGGGAAGAACACCGAUGGCGAAGGCAGGUCUCUGGGCCGUCACUGACGCUGAGGAGCGAAAGCGUGGGGAGCGAACAGGAUUAGAUACCCUGGUAGUCCACGCCGUAAACGGUGGACGCUGGAUGUGGGGCACGUUCCACGUGUUCCGUGUCGGAGCUAACGCGUUAAGCGUCCCGCCUGGGGAGUACGGCCGCAAGGCUAAAACUCAAAGAAAUUGACGGGGGCCCGCACAAGCGGCGGAGCAUGCGGAUUAAUUCGAUGCAACGCGAAGAACCUUACCUGGGCUUGACAUGUUCCCGACGACGCCAGAGAUGGCGUUUCCCUUCGGGGCGGGUUCACAGGUGGUGCAUGGUCGUCGUCAGCUCGUGUCGUGAGAUGUUGGGUUAAGUCCCGCAACGAGCGCAACCCUCGCCCCGUGUUGCCAGCACGUUAUGGUGGGAACUCACGGGGGACCGCCGGGGUUAACUCGGAGGAAGGUGGGGAUGACGUCAGAUCAUCAUGCCCCUUACGUCCAGGGCUUCACGCAUGCUACAAUGGCCGGUACAGCGGGAUGCGACAUGGCGACAUGGAGCGGAUCCCUGAAAACCGGUCUCAGUUCGGAUCGGAGCCUGCAACCCGGCUCCGUGAAGGCGGAGUCGCUAGUAAUCGCGGAUCAGCAACGCCGCGGUGAAUGCGUUCCC